This 529-nucleotide ribosomal RNA is filed under the name Peribacillus simplex. RNAcentral describes it as "bacterial SSU rRNA". It matches the Rfam family "Bacterial small subunit ribosomal RNA", at positions 68 to 582 of the family's 1533-position model. The record is from RNAcentral. Lineage: Bacteria; Bacillati; Bacillota; Bacilli; Caryophanales; Bacillaceae.
AUCGAUGGGAGCUUGCUCCCUGAGAUUAGCGGCGGACGGGUGAGUAACACGUGGGCAACCUGCCUAUAAGACUGGGAUAACUUCGGGAAACCGGAGCUAAUACCGGAUACGUUCUUUUCUCGCAUGAGAGAAGAUGGAAAGACGGUUUACGCUGUCACUUAUAGAUGGGCCCGCGGCGCAUUAGCUAGUUGGUGAGGUAAUGGCUCACCAAGGCGACGAUGCGUAGCCGACCUGAGAGGGUGAUCGGCCACACUGGGACUGAGACACGGCCCAGACUCCUACGGGAGGCAGCAGUAGGGAAUCUUCCGCAAUGGACGAAAGUCUGACGGAGCAACGCCGCGUGAACGAAGAAGGCCUUCGGGUCGUAAAGUUCUGUUGUUAGGGAAGAACAAGUACCAGAGUAACUGCUGGUACCUUGACGGUACCUAACCAGAAAGCCACGGCUAACUACGUGCCAGCAGCCGCGGUAAUACGUAGGUGGCAAGCGUUGUCCGGAAUUAUUGGGCGUAAAGCGCGCGCAGGUGGUUCC